UCCGAUAUGGUGUAGUGGCUAACAUCGCUCGCUCUCAAUCAUAUUGAACCGAGCAGCCCUGGGUUCGAUUCCCAGUAUCGGAG
Molecule: transfer RNA, 83 nt
Filed under: Trichoderma asperellum CBS 433.97
Lineage: Eukaryota; Fungi; Ascomycota; Sordariomycetes; Hypocreales; Hypocreaceae
Rfam family: tRNA
About the family: Transfer RNA (tRNA) molecules are approximately 80 nucleotides in length. Their secondary structure includes four short double-helical elements and three loops (D, anti-codon, and T loops).
Source: Rfam by way of RNAcentral